RNAcentral lists this ribosomal RNA (253 nucleotides) under uncultured bacterium. Its description in RNAcentral is "partial 16S ribosomal RNA". It matches the Rfam family "Bacterial small subunit ribosomal RNA", at positions 524 to 776 of the family's 1533-position model. The record is from RNAcentral.
UACGUAGGGGGCAAGCGUUAUCCGGAUUCACUGGGUGUAAAGCGCGUGCAGGCGGUUCGGUAAGUUGGGCGUGAAAUCUCCUGGCUCAACUAGGAGAGGUCGUCCAAUACUACCGGGCUUGAGAGUGGUAGAGGAAGAUGGAAUUCCCGGUGUAGUGGUGAAAUGCGUAGAUAUCGGGAGGAACACCAGUGGCGAAGGCGAUCUUCUGGACCAUUUCUGACGCUCAGACGCGACAGCUAGGGUAGCAAACGGG